GAAAACCUUACAAAAGCAUUUUCCUUCUCCCCCCCACCAAAUUUCCCAAUGCAAUACAUUCCCCCAAAUCACCAACUCUCAGUCCGGCACCACCCUUUAGAAUACUCAGUCCUCAGUCCAUGAAGAGGAGAGGAGUCCUUGCACCAUAGGCUUCCCCUGGAAACACGCUGAAACCUCGUGUGCUUCCAUGUCACUCAGCACCGCCCAGAAAGUCCUUUUGCCAUUUGUGACAUCUUCCUUCCAUGCCCAGUGCUCUCACCACUGUGCAAGGACCAGAGCUGCUUUUAGGGUUGUCUUUUAAGGAUGCCUUGUCUCACUCUAAAAAGGCACAGUCUCUGCUUGGGGACAUCUGUCCCCCCCAUUUUUCCCACCCCCUGGGGCCGAGGGGUCCCCACGAUGAACCCUCCUGGUUCUGAGGCACUGCCUCCCCCUAAAUGCAGUCUCUGUGUCACAGGAAUAAAAAUGGUUCAGUCUAUGGCCACACAAGAAAAGUCCAGCCAAAAGGCCACUCCAUCAUCUCUCCCCCCAAUCAAGAGUCUUCUCCACUUCCCUCGUGGCCUAUUCCUUCUUAUCUCAUCUCUUAUCUCUCUUCUCAUUCAGCUUCAGGAGAAUCAGCAUUUUCAACGUUUCAAUCAUGCAGGAAAAGGGUUAAAAAUUUCAGUCUCUGUCUGUCCCAGAGCUCCGGCACUCCCACGCUGCCCUCCCGGGCACCUUCUCGCUGCACCCUCCCCUUCUCCUCCUGGGCCAGCCGCUAUCAAAUUCAGACGCCGGCUCUCCUCUCUCUCUCCUGGGGGGAAUGGCUGCCUGAUGUCUCUUGGGGCUCCUCCACCCUUCCGUCCUCAAGGGCCUCCUCACCCCCCAUCUCUGUCCAGGCCCAGGCCUAACACAUGGCUGCCCCUCCCCUGCCCAGCAGCAGCAGCUGGACAGGGGAGGCAGAUCCCACCUCUUUGCCUCGAAGUCCCAAGAGAGCUUGCCAGGGCCGCAGCUCUGGUUUUUAACCCCUGUGUUUUCUCAGAGGCGGAUCUACUCGUCAGUGGUCGAACCAAAUGCCAAUUUUAAAAU
Molecule: long non-coding RNA, 1062 nt
Filed under: Zonotrichia albicollis (white-throated sparrow)
Lineage: Eukaryota; Metazoa; Chordata; Aves; Passeriformes; Passerellidae
Description: lncRNA (ENSZALG00000002278.1)
Source: RNAcentral